UACUCACGGCCGGCAUCCUAGUGAUUAGAGUUUGAUCAUGGCUCAGGGUGAACGCUGGCGGCGUGCCAUAACACAUGCAAGUCGAGCGGGUACCCGCAAGGGUGCCAGCGGCGCACGGGUGAGUAACACGUGGGUAAUCUACCCCUUGGAGGGGGAUAACCAGGGGAAACUCCGGCUAAUACCCCAUACGAUCCAGCAACGAAGGUCACUGGAUGAAAGGAGCGUUUUGCUCCGCCGAGGGAUGAGCCCGCGUCCCAUCAGGUAGUUGGUGGGGUAAUGGCCCACCAAGCCUAUGACGGGUAGCCGGCCUGAGAGGGUGGUCGGCCACAAGGGCACUGAGACACGGGCCCUACUCCUACGGGAGGCAGCAGUGGGGAAUCUUGGACAAUGGGCGAAAGCCUGAUCCAGCGACGCCGCGUGGGGGAAGAAGCCCUUCGGGGUGUAAACCCUUGUUGCGAGGGAGGAAUAAGGCUUGGAGGAAAUGCCAAGCCGAUGACUGUACCUUGCGAGAAAGCCCCGGCUAACUACGUGCCAGCAGCCGCGGUAAUACGUAGGGGGGCGAGCGUUACCCGGGAUUCACUGGGUUGUAAAGGGGGCGUAUGUGGCUUGUUAAAUCUGGGUGUGAAANCCCACAGCCUUANCUGUGUGGAAUUGCGCCCCNAAACUGCCCAAGUCUUUGGGC
RNAcentral lists this ribosomal RNA (682 nucleotides) under uncultured bacterium. RNAcentral's name for it is "bacterial SSU rRNA". It matches the Rfam family "Bacterial small subunit ribosomal RNA", at positions 1 to 649 of the family's 1533-position model. The record is from RNAcentral.